CCUACGGGUGGCAGCAGUGGGGAAUAUUGCGCAAUGGGCGAAAGCCUGACGCAGCGACGCCGCGUGAGGGAUGAAGGUCCUCGGAUCGUAAACCUUUGUCAGUAGGGAAGAACGGUCACUGUGCUAAUCAGCAGUGAAUUGACGGUACCUGUAAAGGAAGCACCGGCUAACUCCGUGCCAGCAGCCGCGGUAAUACGGCGGGUGCGAGCGUUAAUUGGAAUUACUGGGCGUAAAGCGCUCGUAGGCGGUAUGUCAAGUCAAGGGUGAAAUCCCCGCGCUCAACGUGGGAACUGCCUUUGAAACUGGCAAACUGGAGUGUGUGAGAGGAUGGUGGAAUUCCAGGUGUAGGAGUGAAAUCCGUAGAUAUCUGGAGGAACAUCAGUGGCGAAGGCGACUAUCUGACACGUGACUGACACUGAGGCGCGAAAGCGUGGGUAGCAAACAGGAUUAGAUACCCCAGUAGUC
Molecule: ribosomal RNA, 465 nt
Filed under: uncultured bacterium
Lineage: Bacteria
Description: partial 16S ribosomal RNA
Rfam family: Bacterial small subunit ribosomal RNA
Source: RNAcentral